UACCAAGACAUAUAUGUACAUGUAAUAUGUAGUUUUGUAUGUUGUGUUAAUACUACAUCACAUUUUUCAAAAUGAUAACACGUACAGUGAUUCUUCUGAAGACAUGACACAAAUUUAAUAUUAAUAGGCCAUAAAUUGGGUUUGUUUUUACACUUUUAACACUUUUGUCUCCUCUUUCUUACUCACAUUACAGAUGCAGAGAUUGCCGUUACAGUUGAUGGUACAUUAAAGGUCUUCCUGUCCAUUCUCAUUGACUUAAUUGCAGACUUCUUACUAGCUCUUGUUGUUCACAGAGACUCGUGGCAGAUAUAUGAUGCUAUUGUAAUUCAUCCUUGUGAGCCAGGAGUAACUGAAUGGAUCAAUGUCUAUAACCUAAAACGGUAAAGUCAUUUA
Amphimedon queenslandica is the source of this 393-nucleotide long non-coding RNA. RefSeq lists it as uncharacterized. The transcript is spliced from 3 exons. The record is from RefSeq and is a predicted model, not a curated record. Lineage: Eukaryota; Metazoa; Porifera; Demospongiae; Haplosclerida; Niphatidae.